This 439-nucleotide ribosomal RNA is filed under the name uncultured bacterium. RNAcentral's name for it is "bacterial SSU rRNA". It matches the Rfam family "Bacterial small subunit ribosomal RNA", at positions 28 to 480 of the family's 1533-position model. The record is from RNAcentral.
GACGAACGCUGGCGGCGCGCCUAACACAUGCAAGUCGAACGAGAGAGAGGGAGCUUGCUUCCUCAAUCGAGUGGCGAACGGGUGAGUAACGCGUGAGGAACCUGCCUCAAAGAGGGGGACAACAGUUGGAAACGACUGCUAAUACCGCAUAAGCCCACGACCCGGCAUCGGGUUGAGGGAAAAGGAGCAAUCCGCUUUGAGAUGGCCUCGCGUCCGAUUAGCUAGUUGGUGAGGUAAUGGCCCACCAAGGCGACGAUCGGUAGCCGGACUGAGAGGUUGAACGGCCACAUUGGGACUGAGACACGGCCCAGACUCCUACGGGAGGCAGCAGUGGGGAAUAUUGCACAAUGGGGGAAACCCUGAUGCAGCGACGCCGCGUGGAGGAAGAAGGUCUUCGGAUUGUAAACUCCUGUUGUUGAGGAAGAUAAUGACGGUACUC